UUCUCUUAUAAAACCCACCAUGGCAGCCGUGUAUAUCACUUUUGGAUGUAAUGAGAUUUGUCUCUGCUGUUGAAACUUUCAAGCAUCCGAAACUCUGGCCGAAAGUCCUCCCUGAGCUUCUCCACAUCUCAACUAGCUUCCUUCCAAUGGAAGGCCGUCUGAGCUAGGCUCCACCACCACCACAGCUCACUUCCACCGCCAACUUCCUUCACCGAAACGCAUACUCAAUUCUGCGUGUUUCUUUGUCAAUUCAUUCUCCAUUCACUAAAGCACAUCAUCUCCACCGCAACUCACAGAUGCUCUCCGCAUCUCGCUGCAGCAUCUCAACUUUUGCAACCGCAAUUCAUUGACACCACAUCUCAUCUCUCCCACACUUCAUUUUAAAUUGCUUCUAUUGUAUUCACGAACAUUGCUGCUAGUUUCAAUCUGAGAUCUAGGAGCAACGUCAUCAAUUGGUAUUCAGAGCUAUGGUUGGAUGAUUCACGCUCCAGCUAAGUCCAUUUUCGUCAAUCCAUAUUGUCAUUAACUUCCGCACUGUCUUUGCUUAUACGUGUUACUGUUCCUUUUCUAUUUAAGUGAAUGCUUGCUUCGUUCACAGUUCAAUAGAUUCUAGUGUUAUCAUUUUAAUCGGUGCCUUAUCUUGUUUGAAGUCUCAUCCUCUCGUUUUUUUUUAACAUUUUCAAGUCUUGUUUGAGUAAUGUGCAAAUAUGUUUG
RNAcentral lists this long non-coding RNA (714 nucleotides) under Vigna radiata. RNAcentral describes it as "long non-coding RNA (VRAD_LNC012335)". The record is from RNAcentral. Lineage: Eukaryota; Viridiplantae; Streptophyta; Magnoliopsida; Fabales; Fabaceae.